RNAcentral lists this ribosomal RNA (253 nucleotides) under uncultured bacterium. Its description in RNAcentral is "partial 16S ribosomal RNA". It matches the Rfam family "Bacterial small subunit ribosomal RNA", at positions 524 to 776 of the family's 1533-position model. The record is from RNAcentral.
GACAGAGGCCUCGAGCGUUAGGCGGAAUCACUGGGCUUAAAGCGUGUGUAGGCGGAUCGUUAAGUGCCUUGUGAAAUCCCACGGCUUAACUGUGGAACGGCUGGGCAUACUGGCGGUCUUGAGCCAGCUAGGGGCGACCGGAACAAAUGGUGGAGCGGUGAAAUGCGUAGAUAUCAUUUGGAACGCCAAUGGUGAAAACAGGUCGCUGGGGCUGUGCUGACGCUGAGACACGAAAGCCAGGGGAGCAAACGGG